Molecule: ribosomal RNA, 458 nt
Filed under: uncultured Sphingobacteriales bacterium
Lineage: Bacteria; Pseudomonadati; Bacteroidota; Sphingobacteriia; Sphingobacteriales
Description: bacterial SSU rRNA
Rfam family: Bacterial small subunit ribosomal RNA
Source: RNAcentral
GCACAAGCGGAGGAACAUGUGGUUUAAUUCGAUGAUACGCGAGGAACCUUACCUGGGCUUAAAUGGGGAGUGACAGCUGUCGAAAGAUGGUUUUCUUCGGACACUCUUCAAGGUGCUGCAUGGUUGUCGUCAGCUCGUGCCGUGAGGUGUCGGGUUAAGUCCCCAUAACGAGCGCAACCCUUACCGUUAGUUACCAUCAGGUUAAGCUGGGGACUCUAGCGGGACUGCCACCGUAAGGUGAGAGGAAGGUGGGGAUGACGUCAAAUCAGCACGGCCCUUAUGUCCAGGGCUACACACGUGUUACAAUGGCCAGUACAAAGGGCAGCUACCGGGUGACCGGAUGCUAAUCUCUAAAGCUGGUCUCAGUUCGGAUCGAAGUCUGCAACCCGACUUCGUGAAGCUGGAUUCGCUAGUAAUCGCGCAUCAGCCAUGGCGCGGUGAAUACGUUCCCGGGCCUU